GUUUUCUGGCCGUGCCAAAAUGAGGCCCUGUGAUGGAUGCCAUCUUGGAAGCAUCACAGAUCAGCACAUACCUGAGACUGGAGCGACCAGCUGCUCUAGUUUCACAGAGCGCCUCAUCAGUGCAGACUUCAGCCAUCACCACAAACCUACAAAUGAUAACCUUCAGAUUGAUGCGGCGGAGUUUUCCACGAUUCUUUAUCUGCUGAUGAAUCACAACCAGGACCCGUUAAACUUUAAAUUGGAGAAUAAAAUCAUCAAAAAUGCUUGCAUGAGAACCAACAGUAAGGGACUGGACGUAAAAUUCUAGACUCCACCCUCAGCAUUAAAGUUAUGACAUUAUCAGCCGGAGAAUAGUCACGAAUCCUAGGAAGGUGUUCCCUCGAUGGAAAACCUUGGAUCCAAAAUGAAGUUAUUGGACCACAAUUCUUCCAACUCACCUGCAUCGAAGUCAUGCUAAUGAUUUCCAUUAACAGCUGGCUGCUGUUGGUUACUUUAUUUGGAAUUCCCAAUAAGAAUUUUGUUUCCUUCCAUAUUUUUACCUUUUUGUUUCAAUGAUGUGAUUAUUUUUCUUCAUAAAGUCUUUUUUCCAGUGAAGAAUAUCCAUUGACUUAUACACACACAUGAUAUAUACACACACGUUUGCUUACCACAGGAGUGCACAAAGCAAGUUUGGUAUAGCCAGUGUGAUAGUUGGCUCAAAAUAAGCCAUAACCGUUCAGUUCUAAAAUGUAAAACGUUGACCUAAUAGACGCUUUCAACUGCUCCUUUAUUUCCACAGAAGUCCCAAAAUAGAUGGGUCCACAUCACUUGGCACAGAAUUUAUGGUGCAACCUCCCAUUUGUCUGGGCUUAAAGUCCACAAACCUGGCUUAAUGUUUCAUUCACUAUGACCUUGAGCAAACAGCCCAUUAACUCUCCAGGAAACAAUUUACAGAGGUCAAGGCAGACAGAUAUUUACGCAGGAGCUUAUGUUUUUUUUUUUUUUUGCAACCAUAACUAUCGCCCCCUGGUGGCAAGCAAGAAAAACUAUAGGUUUAGGGCACUUUGCAUUGGCUUCACCUUUCAGACCUGGAGUUUGAAAAGAGACUAAAGAGGACAUUUAAAGCACCAGCUGAGUCUCCAUCAGCACAAAAAGAAACUAUUGAUUGCCCCCACUUCAGUCAGAGACGUCACAGAGAAGCUUGCAGUGAAAGGAAACACUGCAAAUACCUGAACUCUGUUACUCAUGUGAAUUCAGGUGUUAACCUAUUUGUUUUGUGAAAUUACAUACAAUUCGUUAUGAUCUUGGGGGAUAAAAAUCCUACAAGUAAUAUUUUUUUUCUCAUUUGUGCUCUGUUAGCUGAAAUUCCAGCAAUAAACACAUUUAGCAGGUAAUCAGCAGUGAUGAAAAGAUGCAAGUGUUGCACUCGACAACCCAUUAAUGUGGCCUUGUGGCACACCCGUAUGCUGCCACCAUCUUUACAUCAUCAAACACUUCAAAACAAAUGCUGGGCACAAAAUUUCAACUGUGGAAAUCUAAUGUGCAUUUUUUGUAUCUGUAAAAGUAUAGACUGAACUGAAGAAAUUAUCGACGGUGGGACUGAGUAUGUGUGUUGUGCAUCACAAUGUUUUGUUCAAUUUUGAUAACACCAGUAAGUUUUUCUUAUGGUAGCGUUUUUUAAAAACAUUUUUUUUUAACUCUUUCUCUCCUUUGAAAUUUGUAAUUUUUUAAACCUAAGUAAGCUAUGAGAGCAGUUGUAUGAGCUGCAGUUUUUGUUUUCUGUUAUUCAACUGAAUGAAAGAGUUUUUUGAUUAAAGUAAGACAUGUUUUCAACAGUAGAUGAGUCGAUGUGGACUUUUAACUGGACUGCUAGGAUGAGUCAGGAUGUUGGGUUAAAUUUGAUUUGGAAAAUAACUAAAGCUGUCAAAUAAUGUAAAGGAGUAAAAAAAAAUAUGGGUUUUAUAAAAAUAAGGUUCACUAUAAUCCAGUUUGCAUUUGUUCCAGGUUUGCUGUACUGCAACCUUAGAGAUCAUCAUGACUACAUUUGACUUGAUUCACAGAAAGUCUUAAUAAAGGAGGAUUUACACCUUUCUUCAACAGGAAGAGGAAAUAUGUGCAGGCACCAACUACGGACAAUGUGACAUACAUUUAAUCUCACUUUAUAUGAUUUCUGUUUCUUUUUCUGUCAAAGACAGAAUUAUUGAUGAACAUAAUUUAGAUAGACGUGUUUGGCAGUUAGCCUCUGAUGGUCUGUCUUGGCAGAACGGACCCCAGCUGUGAAAGGGAUUAGAGCAGGACCCCCCAGAGCCUAGAUCCUGAUGGUGGAGAUGAAGGUGGUUUAUAUGGAGCCUGAGUGAAGAGGGGCAAAGAAGAGGAGGGGGUGGGUUGCACAAAGGCGUCUGUAAAGGCCAAUGACAGAUGCAAGGUUAGAUUUAAAGUAUGGGGCAUGAAUGCUGAUUGGUCUGGUGAAGGCUGAACUAGACCAGUGAUAACACAAAGAGUUUGACAGCGUGGGAAAGUCAGAGUGAUAAAGCUUACGGUGCGUUCACACCGAACGCGAUAGAGGCAAGCGAAAACGCCCCAAACGCCCCUAAUUUGACGCGUGCACAUUCGCACCUCAACGGGCCUCAAAAUUGCAUCUUUCCACGCGCGUGAACCAGAAAUGUGGGAGGGAUGUGGGAGGAAGGUGUGCCAGAUGGUAUCUUUGCAAGAUGGCAGCUGUCGAGCUAGAGCUUGAAGAGAGAGUCAGCCUUCUCUAUCUACUAGUGAUGGUGAGAUGAAGCCUCGUGAUGAGCUGAAGCUUUCCAUCCAACUGGUCGACUCAUGGUUCGAAGCACUGUGAUGAUUCAUUUGCUCUACUGCGCCAUCAAGUGGACGAUUUAAGUGAAAUAGGCUCUGUGAUUACAGGGAGUGCAGAAUUAUUAGGCAAAUGAGUAUUUUGUCCACAUCAUCCUCUUCAUGCAUGUUGUCUUACUCCAAGCUGUAUAGGCUCGAAAGCCUACUACCAAUUAAGCAUAUUAGGUGAUGUGCAUCUCUGUAAUGAGAAGGGGUGUGGUCUAAUGACAUCAACACCCUAUAUCAGGUGUGCAUAAUUAUAAGGCA
Molecule: long non-coding RNA, 3081 nt
Filed under: Oreochromis niloticus (Nile tilapia)
Lineage: Eukaryota; Metazoa; Chordata; Actinopteri; Cichliformes; Cichlidae
Description: lncRNA (ENSONIG00000041626.1)
Source: RNAcentral